CGUUACAGAUUUGGUAUCAGAGCUGUGUUAUAUUCUUAGGACACAGGAAACCUAGGAAUAUAACGAGAGAGUGAGACAAUAAUACAAGAGAUAAGAUAUACGUAUAUGAUAGUUAUACAUCUACGAGAGCAGGCUAGGGUAUACAUGAAACCCAGAAAUCUUUAGUGGGACAUCAAACCCCAUAGUUAUGAUUACACAUAUGUGUAUACAAGUAUCUUUAAGAUAAGAAACUUAAGGUGGCAUUGCUUAAUUAUCCGUAAAGAUGUUAAUAUCCAGUUUUCUUCGAGGACACCCUUUUACACCCUAUCCUUAUGAAUAAUAUUGGUAGUGUCGCAUCAGAAGAAAUUAUGAUUACUGAUGGUAAUUCAGGGAACACGAAUCAUUGAGCCUUCACCAUUUGAGAUUAUUGGUUACCUAACCUAUUAGUUACCUAGUAUUUAUUGCUAUGCCAGAUGGAUAGGCAUCAAUUCUACCUCAUAAAUUUUUGUCAGAAAUAACCUCUACAAUAUCAUUGACUACCCAGAUAUUUACCUCCAUAUCUUGUUCUUUUAUUACCUAUAUCAUAGGGUAGAUAUGAUCAAGUGAUUGUUGGAUAUACUUAGACACUAUCAGCUGACUUUUCCAAAGGCUACAUCAUUCUCUUUUGAUUCCACUAAGAUGUUGACUCCUGAUCGGUACCAAUUCGAGUUCCAUACCUUUAUCAACUCCACCUCUAUUGUCGAGAUUCUUUUCUCAUAUUUUGCAAUUUUCCGCCCAUACAUAUAUAUUCAUAUACCAAGCCAUGAGCUCGAAUGUUACAA
RNAcentral lists this long non-coding RNA (800 nucleotides) under Daucus carota (carrot). RNAcentral's name for it is "long non-coding RNA (DCAR_LNC006947)". The record is from RNAcentral. Lineage: Eukaryota; Viridiplantae; Streptophyta; Magnoliopsida; Apiales; Apiaceae.